GCGAUGAAAGACGUAGUAACUUGCGAUAAGCCCAGAUUAGGUAGUAACAGCCAUUUGAGUCUGGGAUUUCUGAAUGGGGAAACCCACUUACAUAAGUAAGUAUCCUUACCUGAAUACAUAGGGUAAGGAGGCGAACCGGGGGAACUGAAACAUCUAAGUACCCCGAGGAAAAGAAAUCAACCGAGAUUCCGAAAGUAGCGGCGAGCGAAAUUGGACUAGCCCUUAAGCUUUACACGCGUUAGACGAACGGUCUGGAAAGUCCGACGAUACAGGGUGAUAGUCCCGUAGUUGACGACGUGUGUUCAGUGAAAUCGAGUAGGGCGGGACACGUGAUAUCCUGUCUGAAUAUGGGGGGACCAUCCUCCAAGGCUAAAUACUACUGACUGACCGAUAGUGAACCAGUACCGUGAGGGAAAGGCGAAAAGAACCCCUGUGAGGGGAGUGAAAUAGAACCUGAAACCGUGUACGUACAAGCAGUAGGAGCACCUUCGUGGUGUGACUGCGUACCUUUUGUAUAAUGGGUCAGCGACUUAUAUUCAGUGGCAAGGUUAACCAUCUAGGGGAGCCGUAGGGAAACCGAGUCUUAACUGGGCGUUCAGUCUCUGGAUAUAGACCCGAAACCAGGUGAUCUAGCCAUGGGCAGGUUGAAGGUUGAGUAACAUCAACUGGAGGACCGAACCGACUAAUGUUGAAAAAUUAGCGGAUGACUUGUGGCUAGGGGUGAAAGGCCAAUCAAACCUGGAGAUAGCUGGUUCUCCCCGAAAGCUAUUUAGGUAGCGCCUCGGACGAAUACUACUGGGGGUAGAGCACUGUUAAGGCUAGGGGGUCAUCCCGACUUACCAACCCUUUGCAAACUCCG
Molecule: ribosomal RNA, 859 nt
Filed under: Vibrio parahaemolyticus
Lineage: Bacteria; Pseudomonadati; Pseudomonadota; Gammaproteobacteria; Vibrionales; Vibrionaceae
Description: partial 23S ribosomal RNA
Rfam family: Bacterial large subunit ribosomal RNA
Source: RNAcentral